RNAcentral lists this ribosomal RNA (497 nucleotides) under uncultured bacterium. RNAcentral's name for it is "partial 16S ribosomal RNA". It matches the Rfam family "Bacterial small subunit ribosomal RNA", at positions 28 to 507 of the family's 1533-position model. The record is from RNAcentral.
GAUGAACGCUGGCGGCGUGCCUAAUACAUGCAAGUCGAGCGAACGGACGAGAAGCUUGCUUCUCUGAUGUUAGCGGCGGACGGGUGAGUAACACGUGGAUAACCUACCUAUAAGACUGGGAUAACUUCGGGAAACCGGAGCUAAUACCGGAUAAUAUUUUGAACCGCAUGGUUCAAAAGUGAAAGACGGUCUUGCUGUCACUUAUAGACGGAUCCGCGCUGCAUUAGCUAGUUGGUAAGGUAACGGCUUACCAAGGCAACGAUGCAUAGCCGACCUGAGAGGGUGAUCGGCCACACUGGAACUGAGACACGGUCCAGACUCCUACGGGAGGCAGCAGUAGGGAAUCUUCCGCAAUGGGCGAAAGCCUGACGGAGCAACGCCGCGUGAGUGAUGAAGGUCUUCGGAUCGUAAAACUCUGUUAUUAGGGAAGAACAUAUGUGUAAGUAACUGUGCACAUCUUGACGGCACCUAAUCAGAAAGCCACGGCUAACUACGUG